RNAcentral lists this transfer RNA (78 nucleotides) under Desulfurococcales archaeon. Its description in RNAcentral is "tRNA-Arg". It matches the Rfam family "tRNA". Rfam says of the family: Transfer RNA (tRNA) molecules are approximately 80 nucleotides in length. Their secondary structure includes four short double-helical elements and three loops (D, anti-codon, and T loops). The record is from RNAcentral. Lineage: Archaea; Thermoproteati; Thermoproteota; Thermoprotei; Desulfurococcales.
GGGCCCGUAGCUCAGCCAGGAUAGAGCGCCGGCCUUCUAAGCCGGCGGUCCGGGGUUCGAAUCCCCGCGGGCCCGCCA